GACGAACGCUGGCGGCGUGCUUAACACAUGCAAGUCGAGCGAGAAACCUUCGGGUUUCUAGCGGCGGACGGGUGAGUAACACGUGGGUAACCUGCCUUAAUGAGGGGGAUAGCCUUCCGAAAGGAAGAUUAAUACCGCAUAACAUUGAGUUUUCGCAUGAAGAUUCAAUCAAAGAUUUAUCGCAUUAAGAUGGACCCGCGGCGCAUUAGCUAGUUGGUGAGGUAACGGCUCACCAAGGCAACGAUGCGUAGCCGACCUGAGAGGGUGAUCGGCCACAUUGGGACUGAGACACGGCCCAGACUCCUACGGGAGGCAGCAGUGGGGAAUAUUGCACAAUGGGGGAAACCCUGAUGCAGCAACGCCGCGUGGAGGAUGACGCAUUUCGGUGUGUAAACUCCUUUUAUAAGGGAAGAUAAUGACGGUACCUUAUGAAUAAGCACCGGCUAACUCCGUG
Molecule: ribosomal RNA, 454 nt
Filed under: uncultured bacterium
Lineage: Bacteria
Description: bacterial SSU rRNA
Rfam family: Bacterial small subunit ribosomal RNA
Source: RNAcentral